This 726-nucleotide ribosomal RNA is filed under the name uncultured bacterium. Its description in RNAcentral is "bacterial SSU rRNA". It matches the Rfam family "Bacterial small subunit ribosomal RNA", at positions 140 to 853 of the family's 1533-position model. The record is from RNAcentral.
GGGAUAACACUGGAAACAGGUGCUAAUACCGUAUAACACUAUUUUCCGCAUGGAAGAAAGUUGAAAGGCGCUUUUGCGCCACUGAUGGAUGGACCCGCGGUGCAUUAGCUAGUUGGUGAGGUAACGGCUCACCAAGGCCACGAUGCAUAGCCGACCUGAGAGGGUGAUCGGCCACACUGGGACUGAGACACGGCCCAGACUCCUACGGGAGGCAGCAGUAGGGAAUCUUCGGCAAUGGACGAAAGUCUGACCGAGCAACGCCGCGUGAGUGAAGAAGGUUUUCGGAUCGUAAAACUCUGUUGUUAGAGAAGAACAAGGAUGAGAGUAAAACGUUCAUCCCUUGACGGUAUCUAACCAGAAAGCCACGGCUAACUACGUGCCAGCAGCCGCGGUAAUACGUAGGUGGCAAGCGUUGUCCGGAUUUAUUGGGCGUAAAGCGAGCGCAGGCGGUUUCUUAAGUCUGAUGUGAAAGCCCCCGGCUCAACCGGGGAGGGUCAUUGGAAACUGGGAGACUUGAGUGCAGAAGAGGAGAGUGGAAUUCCAUGUGUAGCGGUGAAAUGCGUAGAUAUAUGGAGGAACACCAGUGGCGAAGGCGGCUCUCUGGUCUGUAACUGACGCUGAGGCUCGAAAGCGUGGGGAGCGAACAGGAUUAGAUACCCUGGUAGUCCACGCCGUAAACGAUGAGUACUAAGUGUUGGAGGGUUUCCGCCCUUCAGUGCUGCAGCA